GAUGAACGCUGGCGGCGUGCCUAAUACAUGCAAGUAGAACGCUGAAGGAGGAGCUUGCUCUUCUGGAUGAGUUGCGAACGGGUGAGUAACGCGUAGGUAACCUGCCUUGUAGCGGGGGAUAACUAUUGGAAACGAUAGCUAAUACCGCAUGACAACAGUUAUUGCAUGAUAACUGUUUAAAAGGGGCAACUGCUCCACUACCAGAUGGACCUGCGUUGUAUUAGCUAGUUGGUGAGGUAACGGCUCACCAAGGCGACGGUACAUAGCCGACCUGAGAGGGGGAGCGGCCACACUGGGACUGAGACACGGCCCAGACUCCUACGGGAGGCAGCAGGAGGGAAUCGUCGGCAAUGGACGGAAGUCUGACCGAGCAACGCCGCGGGAGUGAAGAAGGUUGUCGGAUCGUAAAGCUCUGUUGUAAGAGAAGAACGAGUGUGAGAGUGGAAAGUUCACACUGUGACGGUAUCUUACCAGAAAGGGACGGCUAACUACGUG
Molecule: ribosomal RNA, 495 nt
Filed under: uncultured bacterium
Lineage: Bacteria
Description: partial 16S ribosomal RNA
Rfam family: Bacterial small subunit ribosomal RNA
Source: RNAcentral